This 253-nucleotide ribosomal RNA is filed under the name uncultured bacterium. RNAcentral describes it as "partial 16S ribosomal RNA". It matches the Rfam family "Bacterial small subunit ribosomal RNA", at positions 524 to 776 of the family's 1533-position model. The record is from RNAcentral.
UACGAAGGGGGCUAGCGUUGUUCGGAAUUACUGGGCGUAAAGCGCGCGCAGGCGGCUAUCCAAGUCAGUGGUGAAAUCCCGGAGCUCAACUCCGGAACUGCCUUUGAUACUGGCAAGCUAGAGUCCGGAAGAGGUAAGUGGAACUCCUAGUGUAGAGGUGGAAUUCGUAGAUAUUAGGAAGAACACCAGUGGCGAAGGCGGCUUACUGGUCCGGAACUGACGCUGAGGUGCGAAAGCGUGGGGAGCAAACAGG